RNAcentral lists this ribosomal RNA (376 nucleotides) under Areopaguristes oxyophthalmus. RNAcentral's name for it is "partial small subunit ribosomal RNA". The record is from RNAcentral. Lineage: Eukaryota; Metazoa; Arthropoda; Malacostraca; Decapoda; Diogenidae.
AUUAGAUACCCUCCUAUACUUAGAUGAAAAUUCAAUUUCGCUAGAGUAGUAGUAGAUAUAUUCUUAAAAUUUAAAAAAUUUGGCGGUACUUUAAUCUAGUUAGAGGAACCUGUUUUUUUAAAACGAUACACCACGAAGAAUCUUACUUGUUUUUAGUUUGUAUACCGUCAUUGUCAGAUAAUUUUUAGAGAAUAAAUUAUUAAAAUUUAGAGUAUUAAAAUAUAUUAGAUCAAGGUGCAGCCAAUAAACAAGAAAAAAUGGGUUACAAUAAAUAAAUUUAUAAUGGAAUUAUACUUUGAAAAAGUUAAAGAAGGAGGAUUUAAUUGUAUAAAAUUUUUAAUAAGUAGUUUAGAAAUUAGCUCUAAAGUAUGUACAU